AACACAUGCAAGUUCGAACGGUCUCUUCGGAGAUAGUGGCAGACGGGUGAGUAACGCGUGGGAAGCUACCUUGUGGUAGGGAACAACAGUUGGAAACGACUGCUAAUACCCUAUGAGCCCUAUGGGGGAAAGAUUUAUCGCCAUGAGAUGUGCCCGCGUUAGAUUAGCUAGUUGGUAAGGUAAUGGCUUACCAAGGCGACGAUCUAUAGCUGGUCUGAGAGGAUGAUCAGCCACACUGGGACUGAGACACGGCCCAGACUCCUACGGGAGGCAGCAGUGGGGAAUAUUGGACAAUGGGGGCAACCCUGAUCCAGCCAUGCCGCGUGAGUGAUGACGGCCUUAGGGUUGUAAAGCUCUUUCAGCAGUGAAGAUAAUGACAUUAACUGCAGAAGAAGCCCCGGCUAACUUCGUGCCAGCAGCCGCGGUAAUACGAAGGGGGCUAGCGUUGUUCGGAAUCACUGGGCGUAAAGCGCGCGUAGGCGGAUUGAUAAGUUAGGGGUGAAAUCCCGAGGCUCAACCUCGGAACUGCCUUUGAUACUGUCAGUCUUGAGUUCGAGAGAGGUGAGUGGAACUCCGAGUGUAGAGGUGAAAUUCGUAGAUAUUCGGAAGAACACCAGUGGCGAAGGCGGCUCACUGGCUCGAUACUGACGCUGAGG
This 656-nucleotide ribosomal RNA is filed under the name bacterium T264. RNAcentral describes it as "bacterial SSU rRNA". It matches the Rfam family "Bacterial small subunit ribosomal RNA", at positions 50 to 751 of the family's 1533-position model. The record is from RNAcentral.